CUGAAGAACCUUUGAUUCUUUCUAUUGACGCUAAAGAGAGACUUCAGUAUGCAGCUCACAUGGAGGCAUCAGCCCAUCUAAAGCUGUGUCUAUGACCACAGAAGAUUGAAUAUGUGGUGGUUAUCUAAGAAGAGAUUGCUACACAAGGGGUGCAAGAAGACACUUGAUAAUAUGAACAGAUUUCUUCAUAAUGUUCCUUGGAACAUUUACUGGUGAG
This is a long non-coding RNA of Corvus hawaiiensis (hawaiian crow), 217 nucleotides long. RefSeq lists it as uncharacterized. The record is from RefSeq and is a predicted model, not a curated record. The transcript is spliced from 3 exons. NCBI's taxonomy places the organism in Eukaryota, Metazoa, Chordata, Aves, Passeriformes, Corvidae.